AUUGAACGCUGGCGGCAUGCUUUACACAUGCAAGUCGGACGGCAGCACAGAGAAGCUUGCUUCUUGGGUGGCGAGUGGCGAACGGGUGAGUAAUAUAUCGGAACGUACCGAGUAAUGGGGGAUAACUAAUCGAAAGAUUAGCUAAUACCGCAUAUUCUCUGAGGAGGAAGGCAGGGGACCUUCGGGCCUUGCGUUAUUCGAGCGGCCGAUAUCUGAUUAGCUAGUUGGUGGGGUAAAGGCCUACCAAGGCGACGAUCAGUAGCGGGUCUGAGAGGAUGAUCCGCCACACUGGGACUGAGACACGGCCCAGACUCCUACGGGAGGCAGCAGUGGGGAAUUUUGGACAAUGGGCGCAAGCCUGAUCCAGCCAUGCCGCGUGUCUGAAGAAGGCCUUCGGGUUGUAAAGGACUUUUGUCAGGGAAGAAAAGGCUGUUGCUAAUACCGACAGCUGAUGACGGUACCUGAAGAAUAAGCACCGGCUAACUACGUG
This 490-nucleotide ribosomal RNA is filed under the name uncultured bacterium. RNAcentral's name for it is "partial 16S ribosomal RNA". It matches the Rfam family "Bacterial small subunit ribosomal RNA", at positions 30 to 507 of the family's 1533-position model. The record is from RNAcentral.